Long non-coding RNA from Oryctolagus cuniculus (rabbit), 1687 nucleotides. The record is from Ensembl. Lineage: Eukaryota; Metazoa; Chordata; Mammalia; Lagomorpha; Leporidae.
GUUAAUCUCACUGUAGGAAAAAAGCAGAAUAUAGAAUACAGUUUCACUAAACAGCCUGAUUUUUCUCUACCCUUCAUAAAAACAACUUUUAAUGAAUGUGCUGAGGGCAGUUCCUACUACAUUUUCCUGGUGCCUUUCUCUCAGCAAUCUUUGGACUCUAUAUCACAUUUACAGUGCUUUCCAUUGGAUCAAUUGUUUGCAAAAUCAAUCUCUUCUGUUUUCUUUUCAUUUUUCAACUUUUAUUUAAAGUGCCCCAAUUUUAUGUACUAUUCCAUAGACUAUCACCUGCCCGGCUACAGUCAUUGUAUUUUAAACCAUUUCUUACUGAGAUUGGCAGGCAUGACAGCCAUAGCUUGACCCUCAGCUCCAGCUCACCCCAGUGAUCUUCAGCUUCAUUAGGUUUUUCUGUCUAGGAAUUGCCUUUACUUUCUUUUGUGCUCAGAAAUGCUUUUGAGAGGAUACUUAUAAUAUUUUGUCAACACUGCCCAGUUUUUGCCAUGGUAUACAUUAAAUCAGUUUUCUAAUUUCUUCUAUGAAAUUGAUAUUUUCCAGUUUUUAACUUCCACUUUGGUCAAUAUUUGUCAACUCAUACUAAAAGGAAAUCAGGAUUCCCUCUACAGUUUCAGAUCUGCUGUCAAACACAUGCUUGUGAUAUUCACUUAUAAUUCUAUCACCAUAUAACUUAUAUAAGUUUAUGUCUCUUUCGACACAGAAAUUUUGAUUUUUGCUUUCUGUACACUUUUAAAGGUUUAUUUAUUUAUUUGAAAGUUAGAGUUACACAGAGAGAGAAGGAGAGGAAGAGAGAGAGGUCUUCCAUCUGCUGGUUCACUCCCCCAAUUGACUGCAAUGUCCAGAGCUGCGCCAAUCCGAAGCCAGGAGUCAGGAGCUUCCUCCGGAUCUCCCACGUGGGUGCAGGGGCAUUAGGACUUGGGCCAUCUUUCACUGCUUUCUUAGGCCAUAGCAGAGAGCUAGAUUGGAAGUAGAGCAGCCAGGACUCAAACCAGCGCCCAUAUUAGAUGCAGGUGGUAGCUUUAUCGCCUAUGCCACAGUGCUGGCCCCUAUAGCUUUUUCCUUAAUCAAUCUUACAAAGAGGUUACCUAACUUAAAGUUAUUUUCAAAGAAUGAGCUUUGGGGAUUUUAUUCUAUCCACUACAAUUUUUGUUUCCUAAUUUAUUAAUUUUACCUUUCGCUUUUCUUAAUUGUUUUCUCCUAGUUUCUUGGUUCCUCUCGUUGUACUUUUUCAAAACAAUUUCAGAUGAAUACUUAAUUUCUUUAACAUUCAUAGUAUUUUUAAAAUAAUUUUUAAAAAGAUUUAUUUAGUUAUCCACUUAUAUAUUUUAAAAGCAGAGUUAGAGAGAGAAGGAGAGACAGAGAGAGAGAGAGAGAGAGAGAGAGAGAGAGAGAGAGAUCUUAUAUCUGUUAGUUCACUCACCAAAUGUCACAACGGCUAGGACUGGGCCAGAUCAAAGCUAGGAGCUUCUUUCAGGUCUCCCACAUGGGUAGAGAGAGGCACAAGGACUUGAGCCAUCUUCUGCUGCUUUUCCAGGCACAUUAGCAAGGAGCUGGAUUGGAAGUCAAGCAACCAAGACUUGAAGCUCUGCCCAUAUGGGAUUCUGGCAUCUCAGGAGGCAGCUUUAUCCACCAUGUCACCAUGCUGGCCCUCAAAAUAAAGAUAUUUAUGACCACA